AUGCCUUACACAUGCAAGUCGAACGGCAGCACGGGGGCAACCCUGGUGGCGAGUGGCGAACGGGUGAGUAAAGCAUCGGAACGUGCCCUGAAGUGGGGGAUAACGUAGCGAAAGUUACGCUAAUACCGCAUAUUCUGUGAGCAGUAAAGCAGGGGAUCUUAGGACCUUGCGCUUUGGGAGCGGCCGAUGUCGGAUUAGCUAGUUGGUGAGGUAAAGGCUCACCAAGGCGACGAUCCGUAGCGGGUCUGAGAGGAUGAUCCGCCACACUGGGACUGAGACACGGCCCAGACUCCUACGGGAGGCAGCAGUGGGGAAUUUUAGACAAUGGGCGCAAGCCUGAUCCAGCCAUGCCGCGUGAGUGAAGAAGGCCUUCGGGUUGUAAAGCUCUUUCGGUGGGGAAGAAAUUGCUUAGGUUAAUACCUUGAGUAGAUGACGGUACCCGCAU
This 445-nucleotide ribosomal RNA is filed under the name uncultured beta proteobacterium. Its description in RNAcentral is "bacterial SSU rRNA". It matches the Rfam family "Bacterial small subunit ribosomal RNA", at positions 44 to 484 of the family's 1533-position model. The record is from RNAcentral. Lineage: Bacteria; Pseudomonadati; Pseudomonadota; Betaproteobacteria.